RNAcentral lists this ribosomal RNA (253 nucleotides) under uncultured bacterium. RNAcentral describes it as "partial 16S ribosomal RNA". It matches the Rfam family "Bacterial small subunit ribosomal RNA", at positions 524 to 776 of the family's 1533-position model. The record is from RNAcentral.
UACGUAGGCAGCAAGCGUUGUUCGGAGUUACUGGGCGUAAAGGGCUCGUAGGCGGCCAACUAAGUCAGACGUGAAAUCCCUCAGCUUAACUGGGGAACUGCGUCUGAUACUGGAUGGCUUGAGUUUGGGAGAGGGAUGCGGAAUUCCAGGUGUAGCGGUGAAAUGCGUAGAUAUCUGGAGGAACACCGGUGGCGAAGGCGGCAUCCUGGACCAACUCUGACACUGAUGAGCGAAAGCCAGGGGAGCAAACGGG